AUUGAAACACUGGUUCCAGUAUGAUCACCGAAGUUAAGCAACGUCGAGCCAAGUCAAUACCUAGAUGGAUGACCGCUUUGGAAUACCAAGUGUUGCAAU
Acanthosepion pharaonis is the source of this 99-nucleotide non-coding RNA. NCBI's taxonomy places the organism in Eukaryota, Metazoa, Mollusca, Cephalopoda, Sepiida, Sepiidae. The record is from the annotation of a GenBank genome assembly.